GACGAACGCUGGCGGCGUGCUUAACACAUGCAAGUCGAACGGAAAGGCCCUGCUUUUGUGGGGUGCUCGAGUGGCGAACGGGUGAGUAACACGUGAGUAACCUGCCCUUGACUUUGGGAUAACUUCAGGAAACUGGGGCUAAUACCGGAUAGGAGCUCCUGCUGCAUGGUGGGGGUUGGAAAGUUUCGGCGGUUGGGGAUGGACUCGCGGCUUAUCAGCUUGUUGGUGGGGUAGUGGCUUACCAAGGCUUUGACGGGUAGCCGGCCUGAGAGGGUGACCGGGCACAUUGGGACUGAGAUACGGCCCAGACUCCUACGGGAGGCAGCAGUGGGGAAUAUUGCACAAUGGGCGGAAGCCUGAUGCAGCAACGCCGCGUGCGGGAUGACGGCCUUCGGGGUGUAAACCGCUUUCGCCUGUGACGAAGCGUGAGUGACGGUAAUGGGUAAAGAAGCACCGGCUAACUACGUG
Molecule: ribosomal RNA, 468 nt
Filed under: uncultured bacterium
Lineage: Bacteria
Description: partial 16S ribosomal RNA
Rfam family: Bacterial small subunit ribosomal RNA
Source: RNAcentral